UAAAUUUCGAAAAUAAAUUUCAGUAAAAAAUAAAACUGGGAAUAAGACAGGGAGGAGGAAUUUUGUAACCAUAAAGCUGUAUAGCUCUGCAUUCAUCCUACAGACUUACUUCUAAGGGUGCAGUUUAAAAACUUGUCAUGGACUCCAAAUCCCAUUAAGCUGGUUGGUAAAAAUGCUAUCUUAAUUGUUAAAGUGUUCAUAUAAAUAGGAUAAAAUGUUAAAGGGAUCAUAUAAAUAAGAUCAAAUGUCUAGUACUAAUAAUAGAUAGAAUUAAAAGCUAAAUCUGAAUGUGUAUUGACUAAAUGGAUGCCCCUCCUAUUCAGUCCCUUGCAUUAAGCAGUACAAACAUCCUUGUUGAAUUGCCAAAAAAGCAGGGAGACUUAUCAUGGAAAGAAAACUGUAAAAUGCUGCUGCCUCCAUAAGGCUGUCUAUUGCCUCAUCAAGUCCUGGAAAAGAGAUAAUUAAGCUUGAAGCCUGAGGAACUCCUCCUAUUCCUUUGUCUCUUCAAAAAGAAGGGGGACUUUAGCCUCCAAAUGUUGCCUUCAGGCUUAGGUAUAGAGGAACUAUCCGAAGUGAUUAAAUUACUGCCACAAGAAGAGAAGACACAGUGCUCUGCUAAGUAUCUCAAAAUAUAAUUUUUGACUCAAAUACUAUUAUGCAAUAACAGUAAUUUACUGUUCUGUGAUAAUAAUAAUUUAAUGAAAUAUCCCAGGACAUAAAAUGUUAUAUUCAAAUUAUCAAAAAUACUGGCCUUGGGAAUCUACACAUAUUCAACAGAACAUAUACAUCAAGAAAGUACUAGGAACUAACAACAGAGAUGUUGUUAAAAGUGAUUUGGGAUAAGUAGUAAUUUCCGUACAAACACACACACAUACCCACAAAAGGCGAAAGGGUAGAGUCAAAAGAGCAAAAAUGUCCAUAAAUCAUUAAUGAUUUAUGAACACAAAUAUUAGAAAUUUUAUGAUGAAGGUGUUAUAUGUGGAAUAUGAUGUCUUUUGGCCAGGUUAGAGGAUGGAAGGAGAGUUUUGUUAAGCAAGUAUCCGGAUAUUACUGCAAGAAUUAAUAAGCAAUAAAAUACACUGCACAUUAAACUUAUGGUUAACA
RNAcentral lists this long non-coding RNA (1104 nucleotides) under Oryctolagus cuniculus (rabbit). Its description in RNAcentral is "lncRNA (ENSOCUG00000034122.1)". The record is from RNAcentral. Lineage: Eukaryota; Metazoa; Chordata; Mammalia; Lagomorpha; Leporidae.